Molecule: long non-coding RNA, 236 nt
Filed under: Mytilus galloprovincialis (Mediterranean mussel)
Lineage: Eukaryota; Metazoa; Mollusca; Bivalvia; Mytilida; Mytilidae
Source: RNAcentral
AAAAAAGAAGAUGUGGUAUGAUUGCCAACUAUCCACAAAAGACCAAAAUGACACAGACAUUAACAACAAUAGGUCACCGUACGGCCUUCAACAAUGAGCAAAGCCCAUACCGCAUAGUUAGCUUUAAUAGGCCUCGAUAAGACAAUGUAAAACAAUUCAAACGAGAAAACUAACGGCCUUAUUUAUGUAAAAAAAUGAACGUAAAACAAAUAUGUAACACAUAAACAAAAGACAAC